UCAAAACAGCGGACUUCGGUCUUUGCUGCACCCUUGUCUUUUGCGCACCGAAUUGUUUCCUCGGCGGGCUUGCCUGCCGGCUGGACAUUAUCAAAACCUUUUUGUAGUUGCAAUCAGCGUCAGAAAAAUCAUAAUUAUUA
Molecule: unclassified non-coding RNA, 140 nt
Filed under: soil metagenome
Description: partial internal transcribed spacer 1
Source: RNAcentral